Molecule: ribosomal RNA, 466 nt
Filed under: uncultured bacterium
Lineage: Bacteria
Description: partial 16S ribosomal RNA
Rfam family: Bacterial small subunit ribosomal RNA
Source: RNAcentral
CGAACGCUGGCGGCGUGCUUAACACAUGCAAGUCGCACGGAAAGGCCCUGCUUUUGUGGGGUGCUCGAGUGGCGAACGGGUGAGUAACACGUGAGUAACCUGCCCUUGACUUUGGGAUAACUUCAGGAAACUGGGGCUAAUACCGGAUAGGAGCUCCUGCUGCAUGGUGGGGGUUGGAAAGUUUCGGCGGUUGGGGAUGGACUCGCGGCUUAUCAGCUUGUUGGUGGGGUAGUGGCUUACCAAGGCUUUGACGGGUAGCCGGCCUGAGAGGGUGACCGGCCACAUUGGGACUGAGAUACGGCCCAGACUCCUACGGGAGGCAGCAGUGGGGAAUAUUGCACAAUGGGCGGAAGCCUGAUGCAGCAACGCCGCGUGCGGGAUGACGGCCUUCGGGCUGUAAACCGCUUUCGCCUGUGACGAAGCGUGAGUGACGGUAAUGGGUAAAGAAGCACCGGCUAACUACGUG